This 726-nucleotide ribosomal RNA is filed under the name Pseudomonas sp. Its description in RNAcentral is "bacterial SSU rRNA". It matches the Rfam family "Bacterial small subunit ribosomal RNA", at positions 56 to 778 of the family's 1533-position model. Lineage: Bacteria; Pseudomonadati; Pseudomonadota; Gammaproteobacteria; Pseudomonadales; Pseudomonadaceae. The record is from RNAcentral.
UGCAGUCGAGCGGUAGAGAGAAGCUUGCUUCUCUUGAGAGCGGCGGACGGGUGAGUAAUGCCUAGGAAUCUGCCUGGUAGUGGGGGAUAACGUUCGGAAACGGACGCUAAUACCGCAUACGUCCUACGGGAGAAAGCAGGGGACCUUCGGGCCUUGCGCUAUCAGAUGAGCCUAGGUCGGAUUAGCUAGUUGGUGAGGUAAUGGCUCACCAAGGCGACGAUCCGUAACUGGUCUGAGAGGAUGAUCAGUCACACUGGAACUGAGACACGGUCCAGACUCCUACGGGAGGCAGCAGUGGGGAAUAUUGGACAAUGGGCGAAAGCCUGAUCCAGCCAUGCCGCGUGUGUGAAGAAGGUCUUCGGAUUGUAAAGCACUUUAAGUUGGGAGGAAGGGCAGUAAAUUAAUACUUUGCUGUUUUGACGUUACCGACAGAAUAAGCACCGGCUAACUCUGUGCCAGCAGCCGCGGUAAUACAGAGGGUGCAAGCGUUAAUCGGAAUUACUGGGCGUAAAGCGCGCGUAGGUGGUUCGUUAAGUUGGAUGUGAAAUCCCCGGGCUCAACCUGGGAACUGCAUUCAAAACUGACGAGCUAGAGUAUGGUAGAGGGUGGUGGAAUUUCCUGUGUAGCGGUGAAAUGCGUAGAUAUAGGAAGGAACACCAGUGGCGAAGGCGACCACCUGGACUGAUACUGACACUGAGGUGCGAAAGCGUGGGGAGCAAACAGGAU